RNAcentral lists this non-coding RNA (95 nucleotides) under Massilioclostridium coli. Its description in RNAcentral is "TPP riboswitch (THI element)". The stretch from base 6 to 89 matches the Rfam family "TPP riboswitch aptamer (THI element)", at positions 10 to 89 of the family's 105-position model. Rfam says of the family: Vitamin B(1) in its active form thiamin pyrophosphate (TPP) is an essential coenzyme that is synthesised by coupling of pyrimidine and thiazole moieties in bacteria. The previously detected thiamin-regulatory element, thi box was extended, resulting in a new, highly conserved RNA secondary structure, the THI element, which is widely distributed in eubacteria and also occurs in some archaea. Analysis of operon structures identified a large number of new candidate thiamin-regulated genes, mostly transporters, in various prokaryotic organisms. The record is from RNAcentral. Lineage: Bacteria; Bacillati; Bacillota; Clostridia; Eubacteriales; Clostridiaceae.
AUAACAGGGGGAGCUUGUAUGGCAGGCUGAGAGGAAGUAAUCAAACUUCGACCCUAAGAACCUGAUUUGGAUAAUGCCAGCGUAGGGAUAUAGGU